This is a long non-coding RNA of Cuculus canorus (common cuckoo), 6917 nucleotides long. RefSeq lists it as uncharacterized. The record is from RefSeq and is a predicted model, not a curated record. Lineage: Eukaryota; Metazoa; Chordata; Aves; Cuculiformes; Cuculidae. The transcript is spliced from 5 exons.
CGCUCCCUGCCAGUUAAAACCAGUAUGAGUUGCUCUUCCCGGCAUCGCUGCGAGCCCCAUCCCUGUGAGGGCAGGCGACGCUUAGUCUGAAAAGCCCAUACCUGGUCUCCAAUUGAAAACCCGUGAAAGUAAGGGAAACGCCAGUAUUUUAGGUACCAACGGAGAAACUUUCAAGAUAUAUGCAUGGCACCUGCGAGGAUGGCGGUACUAAGUGCAGUGGUUGAUGAAAUUUACAACCUGUUUCUGUACAGACAGCUUUUCUGGCCCAAUGUGCAGCUGCAGUGUUGUUUCACUUCGAUCAGCUGUCCUUAUUAGGACCCAUUUUGCUCUUUUCAGCUUGUUUCCCACCUGGAUUGGCACAUGCACAGCACCUUACCGUCUAUGUAAUUAAUCUGUAAUUCAUUCUGUUUAUUCUUUGGUGAAUUUCCUUUUGAAAUUGUUGCAUUUUAAUCCGCACCUUCUACGCGCUGCCAGAUCUGAGAAUGUCAGCACUCUAAAAUAAUAUGAUUACUGGUCCCACUAAGCAGGUUUUAUCACAUGAGGAGUAAUAAUCAUAUUCAAACAUGUUCUUUGGCUUUGUUGUUGAAAAUCAUACUUAAUUUUGCUGUUGUCUGUAGCAUUUUCUUAGGAGUUGAUCAGUUUCAGUACAUUAGUGUACCAUGGCUAUGCUGGUUAGCGUUGUGAUGGACUGCUCCCUAACAGCUCCACAUAUACUAAAUGUUUUGGUGCUUGGAUGUUUUGGAGCACGUAUGUUUAUACUCGCAGGUCAAAGCCAGCCAAGGCAUUACAACUACCCAUGAUCCUGUGGCCCAGCCAAGGCUCAGCAUCGGAGAACUGUAAGGUCAACGUGUGAAUCUGUAGCAGGAAGGGUGGGUGAGGUCCGAGUGCCAUCCCUGAAUGGCUGUCAUAAGUUCAAAUACAAAGCCAGAGACGCAUCAAGUGGCCAGCAGUAGCUUUCUUCUGAGUGCCGUAGCUCCUGCUUCUUCCCUGAAAGAAGCGUACUAGAAGAUCCUGCAGUCUUGCUUCAUUGUUCAGGUGAUCCUUGAGUGCAGUGGUGUCAUAAGUGUCAUCGACUACUUUGAGUGCUUCUUCAUUCCACCUCACUGUGGCAAAAGCAGAUCUGGCUCUGAUGAUAAUGGGAUGGUGAGCUGUCCCCCUCUCUCUUGUCGUUGCCAUAUUUAAUUAUAGGGUCACAUAAUCAAGCAAUUCACAACAUGAGUCACACGAUGACAUUUGCUUUCAAGGGGGAGUAAAUGACAGCUGAAUAUGACCUUAGCUACUGUACACUGUGUUACAGCUCUUUUGCAACUCUUAAAAUAACCAAGCAGGUGAGGUAGUAGCAAUGUUGAGAAUUAUAUAUCCUUGGUUUUCUCCUCUAUGUGAAGUCUAGUGAUAGAGCUCAUGGAUUGUGACUAACCCACAUCCAUAUCCUCUGUGCAGACAUAGACACAAGUUUUUCUUAAAAAAGAAAGAUUGCAGUAUUUUAAAAAAAUCGUAGGUUACCAAGUCAUCUGAUCAGUAUAUCAGCCACGUUGAGUACACCUUUGUAAUUGGAAUAGAUGAGGGCAGGACUUCCUUAAUGCUGUGUCAGCCAGUCAUAUCCAAAUGUUAUUUAUAAAGGGAUUCAACUUGGCUGGUUGUACCAACUGAAAUGUCAUCUAUUUUGUGAUCCUUCCAGAGGGGACAGUUAGUACACUGAUGCCAGGGAGGGGAAAAGGCCACCCACAGCUGUCUGUUCUCUUCCCUGUGACCUGAUACAAUGUGUAUGCCUGGAUGCACAAUUGGAAAAAGUUCUGGAAGUUUAGGUUUCACUGCAUCUACACAGAUCGAUUAAGCUGUACAGGAAUCACCACAUGAACUUGCAAGGAAAAAAUGAGCUUGCCACACAUGGCUACACAGUUUAUUAAUCUAGCUAAGUAAGGGAAGAGAGCAGUCAGCGGAGGAUAUCACUGUAACAUCACAUUAUGGAAACCUCUCCCAGCUGCCUCCAAGAUGCUGAAAUGAUGUUUAAAGUGAAAUGCGUGUUCCCAUAACUUCUCUUCUAAAGCAGACACUUGGAGUGGAAGUUCUUCAUUUCAAAAGCGUAGCAUUAGAAAAGAAAAAAUAACCAAGGAAGAAGAAGAAAGACAGACUAGUAAAUAGAAUGGAAUGAAAUUUGGGAAGAAAUCUGGGAGACUGAUGAAAAGUAAACUAGAGUUGGAAAUACGAAUGGAUGUCACUGGAUCUGGAAUUGGUAUUGUGUCAGGGGCUGAACUGUUUUUUGAUAUCUUAGGAAUGGAAGUUAAAAUCUGACCUGGGCUGACAAAACUGUUUUCUGCCUCUGCAAGUCUAUCUCUGGGCAAACUGUCCAUGGACAUACAAUAUUUUUGGCCUAACCCUCCAGAGAACAGGAAACUUGCUUCUGACAUCUACAAGUAAACAAGAAGCCCUCGGCUGCUUUAGAACUCCGACUGGGCAGAGCCUCCAGAGAUGGUGAUACUCUGCUGUGUUUGUCACUGAGGAAGGAGGAAAACUGAUUAGGCUGAGCUUCGUUUCCACUACACGUGUAUAGCGGCUUGGAACAUUUCAGUAAAAGCACAUCUUGUUUGGAGAGAAAAAAAAUGUUAUUAUUAUACUCUGCUGACAGAAGAGAUGACAAAAGAAUGCAACAAACGUGCCAGAGGAAAGAAGGAAUGAAGGUGAGAGGAAUAAGUUCGCGUGUAAGAAACUUCCUCGAAAUAACUCGGCAAUUUGCUUAUUUAAAAGCAGAAAAUGAGAUUUGGCAGCUUUUUUAUUUGUAUGGAAGUCUUCCCAUUUCCUUGAAACACAAAAAUUUAUUCAGGUAAGAGGCUUGUAGGAACCUUCAGUUUGUACAUGCUCAUUAGAUGCUUCGUAAUGUUCAGUGUUGACUCUGUAAAAGUGAAGAAUGCUAAUAUUGGUUAGAGGACAAUAGGAUUAAGUAAGAACAAAGAUAAACCAUCUGGAAUUUAAGGAGAGGUGGUUGGGGGAUAUGAGCUACAAGGCAGAAAAUAAGUGGAAUAAUCAAUAUUCAUACAGUGAGUUUGAGUGGGGAAACCGAGAACAGUAAACAUGCUUAUGGGAUGAUUCCACCACCUUUCAAUAUUGUGACCAAGCAGCAUAUGUCUAUGGAAACCGACUAGAAAGUAGGUGCUAUUCUGUUUUGUGCAGAAGCUGAAAUAAGGUGGAGAACAGAGAGAACACAAGAUGUGGUUUCAUGAUGAAGUUGGGGAAACCCCUGAAAAAUUGUAUUUAGGUGGUGAUUUUAAUGGCAGUGUGUGUAAUGUAAAUCUUUUCCUUUAAGCCAUCAAUCUCAGAAAUUGUCACUAGGUAUGCAAUUGUCCUUUUUUGCAUUCAGCUUGCACUCAUGAUUGAAAUGAAAAUGAAUAAAAAUUCUUUUUAACACAUUUGUAAUUCUAUAAUGCUUAACAUGCACCACCGUUACCUCAAAAAAUGUCGGACAGUUCAAUGAACAUUUGCAAAUGCUUUUGACCUUAAUCUCAAAACAGCUCAAUUUCCCCCUUUUCAAAACAGAGAUGAUAUCAAAAAGUCAACUAACCAAACCUUGGUCAAGAUAAUGUGGUGUUUGUGAUACUGCGAAACUGAUGAGCACGCAAAUAAAACACUUACAGAAGGUGAUAAGGUAGGCUUCAGAGUAGUUUGAAGUUGUAGUAAUAUGCGGUGAAGAAGGUAUGGGAUAGCAUACUGAACAAUGGAAUGAAAAUAAAAGGUUUUGUGCGUAGAAUCAAAGAAUCAUAAAUUAUUUUGUGUUGGAAGGGAUCUAUAAAGGUCAUCUUGUCCAACCUUCCUGCAAUGAGCAGCAAGACAUCUUCAAUUAGAUCUGAUUGCUAAGAAUGCCAUCUAGCCCAGCCUUCAGGGUUUCCAGGGAUGGGGUCUCUACCACCCCGUUCUAGUGUUUAACCACCUUCAUUGUAAUAAUAAUGCUAUCCUCCAGUAGUUUAAAACCAUUACCUUUGCCCUACUGCCACAGGCUCUACUGUCCCCAUCAUUCUUACAGGCUGCCUUUAAGUACUGAAAGGCUGCAAUAAGGCCUCCCGAGAGCCUUCUCUUCUCCAGAGUGGACAAUCCCUAGUCACACAGCUUUUCCUCACAGAAGACGUGUUCCAUCCCUCUAAUGGUUUUUGUGGCCCUUCUCUGGACCUGCUUCACCAGGUCUGUGUCUUUCCUGUGCUGGAUGCUCCAAAGCUUGAUGUAGUACUCCGGGUGAGGUCCACCCAGAGCAGAGCAGAAGGGGAAAAUCACCUCCCUUGACCUGCCGGCCGCACUUAUUUUGGUGCAGCCCAGGAUAGAGUUGUCUUUCCAGGCUGUGAAUGCACUUUGUUGGCUCAUAUCCAGCUUUUCAUUCACCAGUACCCCCAGGUCCUUCUUGGCAGGGCUGCUCUCAAUCCUUCAUGCCCCUGUCGGUAUUGAUGCAUUGAUGUCUGUAAUCUGUAGCUAAAUAUUAGCUAUCCUGUGCUGUGUGAGUAGGGAGGACUCUUCUGCUGUAAGUAGGAUUUUAUUGCUCAAUCUUGCAGUAAAAAAAAGUCAUCGUUUCUUGUGUGUGUUGAUCUUGGAUUGGCUGACAAUGUUACUGCUGCAAUAUUUGCAUUUGUACAUGUUUGACUGUCAUUUCAUGGUUCUUCAUUUUUCAGUGACACAUAAUGUAAAAUUGAAAGUUCCUCGAUGGAAAAAAUACAUCCAUUGUCUUAAACAGAGGCAGAUUUAUGAAAAAAAAAGGAAAUGAAUACAAAGUUUCUUAUUUUAAAUUCCUUUUAAGAUUGCCAGUUGUGGACUUUGUUUUACUGUGAAUAUUAUUCCAGGUAUUCCAGUUCUUUAUGAGGGUUGUUCAGUGUACUUGCUAUUUUAAUUACUUUAUAAUUUGCUUUUAGUGUUUAAUGUUUGUACUAAAUAUUCCUUUUCUUCUUGAUAUUUCCUCCCUAAGGAUAUUAAAUGUAAAAAUACAUUAAUAUUGAAAGACUAUUGUAUUAUAAGUAGGAUUUCCGAGAUAAUAGCAUCUUAUUGUUUAAAAAAUUAAGAACGGAGUUUUGAGUUUUUAAAAAUUUGAAGUACUAUACCUGCCAUCUACUGGAAGUACAAGGACGAUGCAUUUAAGUACUGUUCUGUUAACUGUUCAGCCAAUAACAUUUAUUAUUCUACUACUUUACUUUAUUAUUUGACUUUUUUCAAUUAAAAAAAUUGGAUUGAUCUUUAACCUGCAUUAUUUCAUUUAUUACUUUAUUUAAAAAAUGGCAGUCUUAAAAUUUAACUCCAGUUUUCAGCUCCUCAUGUGUCACUGAUUUUUAAUGAAUCCACAAUAAAAUCUAAACAAGUGUUAGGAAUCAAGUGUAAGAAAUAGAUUUGACAUCUUCUUCUGUCUUGUUCUGUAUGAUCAUUCAUUUUUAUGCAUCUGUACAACUCGCAAUUGGAGAGAACUGUAUAUGCACAAACAAAUUUUCAGAUAUUUAUGUAUUUCUUUGGAAGAGAAGAGUUACAAUAACUUAGAAUAACACCUCACAUUAUCAGAAGGGGUUGUUAUUAAAAGUUUUAUUCUUUUUAAUGUGAGGCACAUUUUUAAGGGACCUGUAAAUUACUCUAGGUUCAUUUUCAUCUCUUCUUGACUCUUAGUUCCAGUCCCAUAAACCACACUAAUUUCAUUCCAGUAUGGCCACUUCAGUGGACUGAAAAUCAAGAAAAAGUAAUAUAAAGGUGAAGAAGUCCAUUAAUCUUGGAUUUGGCACUGUAAAUAUAAUUUGUUUUGAUUUAGUAAUCCAGUAUUUGGCAAGAAAAAGAAAAAAGUCAUUAUUAAUUAAUUAUUAAAUAAUUGUUAGUUAUUGCUGACAUGAGAUUUGAAUUCCCCAGGUUGCACACAAUCCAAUCGCAUCCUUUUUGAUAUGAGAGACAUUGUUUUGUCUGUAUAUUAAUGGCUAAAGCUAGUGUAGAUUCUUUGGUAAGCUAGAUUUCCAACAGAUCAAACUGUGAAAAGGAAGAGAAAUAGUUAAGCGUAUAUUUACAUUUUUAAAAUCUAUUAUUAACCAAACCAAGACAGGCCUAAAAGGAAAUCAAAGAAAGUCAUCCGUUGUCUUCAAGGAAGUAUUGCUGAAUUCCUAAGAGAUUAUUGUGGAAAUAACCCUGUUCUGUGCAGGGAAAGAUCUUUCACGGGACUAUAAUACUGGAUUUAAUUUUAGUUUUUAAUUUUAAUUUUAAUUCUAAUUCUAAUUUUAAUACUCUGAUGCUCCUGUUCCUCUGAUGUUCCUGUUUAAUUUUAGCAGUUUAAAUUAAACACCUCACAUGCAUAAUAAAAAACACAUCUCUUGCUGAAGCAGAAUGAUUCUUUUUAUUCAGUAAGUGCUUUGAUAGUAUUCCAAAAUCAUCUUUUUGCGUUUAAAUAGGUUAAGUGGUGCCUGAAGGAUGAUUCACAAAUUACUACAAAGAGUGGAGCAGAUAGUCCAGAGCAAAAGAGGAAAUAUUAAAAGAUGUUUUUCUUCUUUCAAGGAAAAUUUCAUCCAAAGUUUAGUAUUCAUGUGGAGCAGACAUAUGCUCAUUCUGUAAUUCCUCAUCAGAAUUGCUCUUUUACUUUAUUUCAGGCAAAUUUUGGUGCUAUUGACUUCCCUAUAGAUGUUGAUCUGCUGCCACCUGAUAGAAAAAUUCUCACCACUACCCAGUUGAUUCCAACUAACUGUUACUUUAAGGUUCUGUAAUCUGCUCUAUAAAUCUGAAGUUACUUUUCUUAUCAUGAAUAUCUACUGCAUGAGCUGUUUCCAAGCAUACAUCAGUCUUACCAGUUAGAUUUAUUAAAAUCAGAGGAGAAGCAAAACAAAAGGUUUCCAUUAACUUCAUGCAUGCAAUUUUUUAAUUCUUCUAAACUAAACUAAGAUAAACUAUAUGAGCCUCUUUUCACUGAGUGAAUUGUUUCUUUCCUC